This is a non-coding RNA of Diaporthe sp. PMI_573, 108 nucleotides long. The record is from the annotation of a GenBank genome assembly. NCBI's taxonomy places the organism in Eukaryota, Fungi, Ascomycota, Sordariomycetes, Diaporthales, Diaporthaceae.
CUCCAGCUAGUGUAAUGGUAACACGCGGGAUUGACACACACGGGCGCCUAGAAAGCUGAAGUGUGCCUUCGGGGGCACGAAAUCCAGGUUCGAGUCCUGGGCUGGACA